This 245-nucleotide ribosomal RNA is filed under the name uncultured Lachnospiraceae bacterium. RNAcentral describes it as "partial 16S ribosomal RNA". It matches the Rfam family "Bacterial small subunit ribosomal RNA", at positions 524 to 767 of the family's 1533-position model. The record is from RNAcentral. Lineage: Bacteria; Bacillati; Bacillota; Clostridia; Lachnospirales; Lachnospiraceae.
UACGUAUGGUGCAAGCGUUAUCCGGAUUUACUGGGUGUAAAGGGAGCGUAGGUGGCUUGUCAAGCCAGAAGUGAAAACCCGGGGCUCAACUCCGCGGAUUGCUUUUGGAACUGAUGGGCUGGAGUGCAGGAGGGGUAAGCGGAAUUCCCAGUGUAGCGGUGAAAUGCGUAGAUAUUGGGAAGAACACCGGAGGCGAAGGCGGCUUACUGGACUGUAACUGACACUGAGGCUCGAAGGCGUGGGGA